GGCCCGAGCGCCGGCGCCGGCGGGGCUGAGGCGCGCGGAAGCCACUCUUACACAGGCAGCGCCGGGCACAAGUUAGUUCCUCGGCUCCGGGGCCUCGGCGCCGCGGGGACGAAACGCCGAGGGCGCCGAGGAGGAGGGGAGGGGGGCGCCGAGGGGCACAAGAGUGGGGAAAAGUGCGGAAAGAAGCAACAGCCGCUCCCCCGGAGCCCAGAAAAGUGGACGCCGCGUCCCGGCCGCCCGCCUGCGCCGGGGAUGCGGCGGCGGCGGCGGCUAACGGUCCAGCGAGGCGGCAGGGGCGGCGGGAGCCGCUAGGCGGAGAAACCAGUUUUCUCAGUUGGAGCCCCUCGCCUCUGUGCCUGGAAGGAGUUGCAGGUGUGUGUGAGGAGAGAGUGGUCACCCACAGGGCUCCGGCGCAGCUCGGGGGGCCCUCAGGAUACCAUGUCACCAAGAGUCAGCAGCCAAUGCCACGUAAUAGUUUUGUGAAGAUUUGUUUAGUUAAAACUAGAUGACACUGUUUGGCAUUCCAGUUCACCAAGAAGAGCUCACUGCAAGUGUUACAAGAUGCUGAAAGCAGGGGUGGCUUUGUCCCUUUCUUUCCUGCUGUGGAAUCAGGACUCUGUUUUCCACUGGACCGGAAAUAAGGAACAGAUAAUGUCGUGGAUACCGUCCUGUGCUGUCUGGUCCCCCUUCAGGAAGGAGCGACUUCUCCCGCAGCUGCUGGGGAUGUACUAGAAGGCCCUUACCGUCGACCCCCUUUGGGGAUUGCCUCAGCUGAAGAAAACUGCCUCAGCCCAGGCCCACCUCCUCCCAGGACCACCCAGCUUCCAGUGCCCGAUCCAUGGGGCAUGAAGGCCUGGCCCCUCCUCCCAUCUUGGAGCAGCUCUGAGGGGCCAUCCAGCUUCUGACUCCCCAGGGGUUGGCUUUGCUGGGAAUCCAUCGCAGACCAACUUCUCCCUCCAUCCAAUCCUGCUUCCCCCCUCCCCUCCACAGGAGCACCCCCUAACAGAUGUUCUGUACACGAGUCUCACCUCAGAGAAUCUGCUUCCCAGAAGACCCACCUGCCACAUAGGGAAGUCAAACAAGCCAAAACAGUGUGCAAAGGAAAAUAAGCACACCUGUGCUUGCGGAUGCAUCCAGAGAUGGUCCUGAGUGUGUGAAUGUGAAAGAAAUGAAAGCAGAUCCACAAGCCAGGUCUGGUUUUAAUCAGAGUCUAAUCUUUAUGAGACAACACAAGGCUGAGAAUUUUUUAAUCUGAUAUUUUGAAAGAAAAAUCCGUGUUCCAAAAUGAUACAAACCAACGAGCCUUAGAAGAACGAUGGAGAAAAGAAAUCUCUUGCAUAAAAGAGAAGCAGGAAAUUCCAGAGAAGUUUCACAGUGAGGAGGGGAAAACCCAAGGUGUAAAGAUAAUUCAGAAGAAAAUACAAAGUUUUCAACUAACGCAGAUGAAACAGUUGGAUAUUCUUAUGCAAAAAAUAAUUCCAGUCCAAUCCUGGCACUUAUACGAAAAGUAAGUCAAAAUAGAUUGGAGAUCUACCUGUAAAAACUAAAAUUACAAAAUUUCUAGAAGAAAACAUAGGAGAAAAUCUUUGUGGCCUCAGGUUAGGCAAAGAUUUCUUUUACAUUCAACGGCAAAAGAAUAAUACACACACAUACAAAAUUGAUAUAUUGGACUGCCUCAAAAUUAAGAAAUGUUGUUCAAAGGGCACUGUUAAAAAGUGAAAAGAGAAGCCAGAGAGUAGAAGAAAAUGCUUAUAAAUCACAUAUCUGAUAAAGAACUGGUAUCCACAAUAUAUUAAUAACUCCCAAAACUCAGCAAUAAGAAAACAAACAACUGUAUUUUUUAAAUGAGCCAAAGAUUGGAACACACAAUUCAUCAGAGAAGAUAUACAGACAGCAAAUAAACACAUGAAGAGAUACUCAACAUCAUUAUGCACUAUGGAAAUGUACAUUAAAACCAUAGUGAGAUACUGUUGUGUGCCUAUUUGUACGUCUAUAGUUAAAAAGACUGACCCUGUGAAUUGCUGGUUAGGAUGCGAACGAACUAGACCUCUGACACACAAUGUAAAAUGGCACAAGUACCUGGAAAACAGUUUGACACUUUCUUAAAUAGUUAUAAACACACACUUUCCAUAAGAUCCAGGCUUUCUCCUUCUGGAUAUUUAUCCAGGCGAGAUAAAUGCCUAUGUCCAUACGAAGACGUGUAUACAAAUAUUUAUAGCAGACUUGUUUGUAAUAGCCUUAAGUAAUGAAUUAACUAAUGAAUUAAAAGGAAACCAAGCACAAUCCAAAUGGUUAUAUCAUCAGGUGAAUGGAUAAACAAAUUGUGGCACAUCCACACAAUGGAAUAGUACUUAGCAAUGAAAAAGGAACGAACUGUUGACACAUGGAAGGACGUGGAUAAAGCUCAAAAUAAUCAUGCUGGCGAGGAAGCCAAAGAAAAAUCAGCACAGACUGUAUGAUUCCAUUCAUACCAUAAACUGACCUCUGGGGACAGAAGGCAGUCCUACUAGGAAUGAAGAGGUCACACAGUGGACGCACACCUCAACCCAAGGACCGCUUUCAUGGGAAAUAAAAUGCCAAGACAGAUGUAUGGGUGGAAACCUCCACUUAGAGGAGGCAGAAGGUAUCUCCUGCUGACUGUGUCUUCACACCUCGGCAACACACCUGUGAGCAAAGUCACAAGGAAGAGUGCAGAGUGCGAGACUCAGCCCGAUGAGUGCAUCCUUUUCUGUGCCAUCCAGCUUAACCUCUGACACACUCUUAACAGUGAAGCCCCUCAAAUGACUAACUGCAAACACAGGUGGGAUUGUCAUCAUGUCCUAUAGGUCAGGAAGAUUGGGCUUUACAGGACUGACAGCAGGAAUUGUUCCAAAAUCAACUGUCCUCCUCGGAGAAUUCCCCGUCAGCUGUCAAAGAAGGCUGGCUCCGUUGAAUUCAGCCCUUGAAGAGUGCAAAGGGGAGAGAAGAGCUCUCAGAGACGAAAAGCAGACCUCGCAGGAUUUUACGGCUUAAGACCAAUACCUUCCCCUGCCCUCGGAGCCAUUAGGGAAGCCAGCAGCAUCUGGGGCCCAGAUGUUCUGAGCAGAUCUCCCUCUGGGCAGAGGCUGGCCUAGUCUUCCCUGGAGCUCAGAGCAGGUCACGAGAGAAAGGAGUCUUGCCCCGGCCAGGGAAGUGGAAGUGCAGCUCCUGGCCACAGCCUUUUAUCUAGGCUGGAGCCUUGAGUUCAAGGUUUCUCCCAUUUCCUACCCUUGGAAGGCAAGGCAAUUCCUGUUGCCUGGUGGAGUGAGGAUAAAAUGGGACAGGGGAUGGGAAGAGCACUGAUUGUGUGGCUUAUAAAAUCCCUGUGGCAGAAAACACUGUUGUGAACUCACCCAAAGCUAUUUCUCAGACUCCUUGGUAGCCAGGUGGGGUCAUGUGACCGAGCCUUGGCCAAUGGGAUGUAGGUGGAAGUGAGUGACGUGCAUCACUUCUGUGCCUGGCCCAGAAAGCACACCUGGGCCAUCUCGCAAUCCCACUCCCCAGGCUUCUGGUCACAUGCAUAGGAUCCGCAGACAAACCCCCAGCUGACGGGGAUGGGGGCCCACCCGAUGGAAGGAGCUCAGAUCCCUCAUCAGCCUCACAGAAGGCCACCUGCCUAGUGGUCUCGGAUUGUGCUGGAAUGCAGACUAGAGCUCUGACUGUGCCAAACCGUCUCAGAGCUUGUCGUCCCAUCAAGCACUGUUUACCCUACUUAACACAGGCUCGGAAUGUGUCCCAGAGAAAGCAACUGAGAGGGUGACCGGAACCUGGGGCAGGGGUGGGGAGCCAGGGGUAGCAAAUACGUUUAGAGAGGUGGCUCACAAUGUCCAGGUGGCAUGUGGUCUGCCGCUCACUUAACGACCCUCCCUUAUCAAUGCUUUUAUGCUCUGGAUGAACCUCUGUGAGGCUGCCCGGGUGCCCCUCACCUCUGGCUGGCUGUCAGGAUCUAUACAGACAGCCAAGGAGGCAUAUUAAACAGACCUCAGGGAGUUCAGGAUCUGAAAGAAAUUAGCCCAGGCAAAUCACCACCGAGUACAUUUUUCUUUUUUAGAAGACAACAUUGGCAAACACAAGCCACACCAUCUCUUGAAACCUGUGUGUUCACUGCCCUUGAAUGCAUCCAUGGUGGAUGGUUGACAAGUGUAGGGACGGCUGGUGAAUGUACAGCAGGUUAAUAUCAAUUUUCAUUGGCUUGGUAAUUAACCUGUGAGAUUUUUUUCUAUAUGAGCUCUACAGUGUUCUUAUUCCAGAGAUGGCAAUCAUUUUAGAUAAAUUUUAUUUUAUUAUUAUUAUUUUUUGCGGUGUGUGGGCCUCUCA
Non-coding RNA from Delphinapterus leucas (beluga whale), 4335 nucleotides. NCBI's taxonomy places the organism in Eukaryota, Metazoa, Chordata, Mammalia, Artiodactyla, Monodontidae. The record is from RefSeq and is a predicted model, not a curated record.